CUUUAGUCUUUGCCUCAAAGAGCUUAUGGUGCAAUGUCAUUGGGGCAAGGACAGUAUAUACAAAGAGAAAGUAAAGUACUCACAGAGAAGUCCUAGCAAGGGUCCAGAAACCCAAUAUCAGAGCUUGGUUAUGUGGAACUUCCCUUUGGAGCAAUGAGAAGGGAGGGUCAGAGAGGCACUGGGAGGAGGUGGGAGGAAGGCACCAGGUCAGUACUCCUGCUGGCUUUGGCUGGAACUUAUCAUCUUCAUAAGAAGGGGCUUUCCCGUAGGUCACAUCCAGGCUGGAGAUGUCUUGCUGGGGUCAAAGUGGAAUCGAAGGCCCAGAGCUUCCAGGUUUGCAAAAAUGUAAACUCCAUCGGGCCUUACAGACGUCUCCAGACUCACUGCCUUCCAGAUGCCACUCACAAGCUCUGUUCCAGCCAAGCCCGACCACUUACAGCGAUGGAAUUGCAAGUGGUCAACCAGCCCUGGAGAUGGUUUUGGUGCCUGGAUCCUGGAGAUUUGUUUGGCCUCUUUGCCAAGGAUGGAAGCUCUCGUAGAGUUUGAUGGAAAUCCCCGGUCCCGUUCAUCUGCGUUUGUGACUGAGGUGGAGAUGGCUGACCGCCGUUCCUGCUUUAAGGAGUCUUUGGCCUCUCACCGGGAAGUGAGUAGGUGACAUCUUCCUUACCCAGAAGUGAUUUCAUUUGGCUCAGAUGGAGGUCACAUUGCCCGGGAAUUGACACGAUCAGCCCACUUUGGCUCUGUGCCAGGAUCUACAGCAGUCAAAGUGGGACCCAUUACUGGUAGGCAUCUCCAGGAUGCCCUGGGUCCUCCAAAUGAGUUCAACCCUGGAGUGCAAGGUCACGUAUCAGCGAUAGAGGACUUCCCAGUGUGCUAUGAUCUUGUCUUCGUGAGCUCUUACCGUAGUAAUAUCACC
RNAcentral lists this long non-coding RNA (916 nucleotides) under Felis catus (domestic cat). Its description in RNAcentral is "lncRNA (ENSFCAG00000042406.2)". The record is from RNAcentral. Lineage: Eukaryota; Metazoa; Chordata; Mammalia; Carnivora; Felidae.